AGACCCGAAACCCGGUGAUCUAGCCAUGGGCAGGUUGAAGGUUGGGUAACACUAACUGGAGGACCGAACCGACUAAUGUUGAAAAAUUAGCGGAUGACCUGUGGCUGGGGGUGAAAGGCCAAUCAAACCGGGAGAUAGCUGGUUCUCCCCGAAAGCUAUUUAGGUAGCGCCUCGUGAAUUCAUCUCCGGGGGUAGAGCACUGUUUCGGCUAGGGGGCCAUCCCGGCUUACCAACCCGAUGCAAACUGCGAAUACCGGAGAAUGUUAUCACGGGAGACACACGGCGGGUGCUAACGUCCGUCGUGAAGAGGGAAACAACCCAGACCGCCAGCUAAGGUCCCAAAGUCAUGGUUAAGUGGGAAACGAUGUGGGAAGGCCCAGACAGCCAGGAUGUUGGCUUAGAAGCAGCCAUCAUUUAAAGAAAGCGUAAUAGCUCACUGGUCGAGUCGGCCUGCGCGGAAGAUGUAACGGGGCUAAACCAUGCACCGAAGCUGCGGCAGCGACGCUGAUGCGUUGUUGGGUAGGGGAGCGUUCUGUAAGCCUGUGAAGGUGUGUCGUGAGGCAUGCUGGAGGUAUCAGAAGUGCGAAUGCUGACAUAAGUAACGAUAAAGCGGGUGAAAAGCCCGCUCGCCGGAAGACCAAGGGUUCCUGUCCAACGUUAAUCGGGGCAGGGUGAGUCGACCCCUAAGGCGAGGCCGAAAGGCGUAGUCGAUGGGAAACGGGUUAAUAUUCCCGUACUUGGUGUUACUGCGAAGGGGGGACGGAGAAGGCUAUGUUGGCCGGGCGACGGUUGUCCCGGUUUAAGCGUGUAGGUGUGUGUUCCAGGUAAAUCCGGUUCACUUUAACACUGAGGCGUGAUGACGAGGCACUACGGUGCUGAAGCAACAAAUGCCCUGCUUCCAGGAAAAGCCUCUAAGCAUCAGGUAACAUCAAAUCGUACCCCAAACCGACACAGGUGGUCAGGUAGAGAAUACCAAGGCGCUUGAGAGAACUCGGGUGAAGGAACUAGGCAAAAUGGUGCCGUAACUUCGGGAGAAGGCACGCUGACAC
This 1049-nucleotide ribosomal RNA is filed under the name Salmonella enterica. RNAcentral's name for it is "partial 23S ribosomal RNA". It matches the Rfam family "Bacterial large subunit ribosomal RNA", at positions 711 to 1757 of the family's 2925-position model. Lineage: Bacteria; Pseudomonadati; Pseudomonadota; Gammaproteobacteria; Enterobacterales; Enterobacteriaceae. RNAcentral also lists the same sequence under 3 other names. The record is from RNAcentral.